Molecule: unclassified non-coding RNA, 722 nt
Filed under: Hevea brasiliensis (rubber tree)
Lineage: Eukaryota; Viridiplantae; Streptophyta; Magnoliopsida; Malpighiales; Euphorbiaceae
Source: RNAcentral
CCAAAAGAAGCGCCUGACGAGGAAGAGAACCGUUGCCACCAUUGUCCAGCUCACAAGCCCCUGAUUUAGCGACCGGAGUACCAGCGCACAAAGCAUCAGCACACCCACACCAGUAUGUCACUCCAUCGACACCGCAGACGGGGUCGACGCGGAAGCAAUUGAUUGGACAUGACGCUGGAGCGGUGACUCCAGCGCACCCGCCGCCGCCGCCGCCCUCUUUGCUAGUGAUUUGCUGAAUCACGACUCCAUCUUCAGGCUUGGAUUGCGCGAUCGGCAAGCAGAGAACAAAAAUGGCAACAGCAAGACAUAACAAGGCCAAAAUUGAGAACUUGGACAGCGAUGGAUUCAUCAAAUUAUUUCUUACGUAAACGGAAAAAUUCUGCGGAGGUUAACUGGCGACUCGCCCUAACCCUAGCUUGUCGAGGAGGCUAUUGGAUGAAUAUAGGAAAGGAAUCGAAAGCAAAGGAUUUGGAGGAAGAGAGGAAAUUAGACGAUCCGCAAUGAAUCGAUGACAGGGCUGUAGGAUUUGGUAAUCAACAACGGUCUGAAAGGGAACAGACAGACGGUUUGGUCGACCAAUUCUUGGUCGUUUGUGCCAACUGCCUCGUCUAACGGGGCUGAGAGAUUACAUUCCCGUUAUACGCUCGCCCACUGGUGAUUAUAGCCAUUCCUUCCGGCUGGGAAUUGUUCAACGCAUUGGAUCAAUUAAAAAUAGAAAAAUU